AAACGGCUACCACAUCCAAGGAAGGCAGCAGGCGCGCAAAUUACCCAAUCCCGACACGGGGAGGUAGUGACAAUAAAUAACAAUAUAGGGCUCUUUUGGGUCUUAUAAUUGGAAUGAGUACAAUUUAAAUCUCUUAACGAGGAACAAUUGGAGGGCAAGUCUGGUGCCAGCAGCCGCGGUAAUUCCAGCUCCAAUAGCGUAUAUUAAAGUUGUUGCAGUUAAAAAGCUCGUAGUUGAACUUCAGAUUUGGUCGGGUGGUCCGCUUCACAGCGUGUUACUGCUUGGCUGGGUCUUGUCUCUUGGUGAACCAUUGUGCCCUUUAUUGGUGUGCUUUGGGG
Molecule: ribosomal RNA, 338 nt
Filed under: uncultured fungus
Lineage: Eukaryota; Fungi
Description: SSU rRNA
Rfam family: Eukaryotic small subunit ribosomal RNA
Source: RNAcentral